AACAACUCUAGUUGUCCAGUGUUUGAUUUGUAAAACUGUUUCAGGUACAUGACAAACUGGAGGCAAGGGACAGGACAA
MicroRNA precursor from Medicago truncatula (barrel medic), 78 nucleotides. It matches the Rfam family "MIR5286 microRNA precursor family". Lineage: Eukaryota; Viridiplantae; Streptophyta; Magnoliopsida; Fabales; Fabaceae. The record is from Rfam.